RNAcentral lists this ribosomal RNA (1128 nucleotides) under Triticum aestivum (bread wheat). RNAcentral's name for it is "partial small subunit ribosomal RNA". Lineage: Eukaryota; Viridiplantae; Streptophyta; Magnoliopsida; Poales; Poaceae. The record is from RNAcentral.
AUGGCGGCCGGCGGGCUGGCGGGGACGGAGCUGGUCAGCACCGGCGGGGCGGAGGCCGGCAACAACGCAAGGGUGACCGGCAGAGGGAAGAGGAAGGCGCUGCGGAAGGCCCGCCAGAAGAAGCCCUCGUCCUACAGGAGGGACGAUCGCCGAGACCGCGAGGAGUUCAUGCGGGCUCUCAGGGAGGAGGAGCCCAUAGAGCUGAGGGAGGAGGACGAGAUCCCCGAUUAUCGCGAACUCUGGGACUGUCUCUACGCCGACCACUUCGGCUCCUUCGACGACCAAACGGCUCUUGGUCCCAUGCGCCAUACAUUCGAACCCAUCCCAAGCUACGCCGCUCCUGAUUGUACCUUGCAGAUCUUCUACAUCCGAGUCACCGAGAUUAGCAAAGAUGGUCUCCAGUGGCCUCUGCAUGUCCAUGGCUUGGUUGCUGCGAGGGACUCUGUAGAUCACAACCGCAACUUCCUCUUCAAUCGCACUAGGGAUGACUGUCAAACCCUCACCCAAGAAGAUCCAUGGUUGAUGUUAACCGGCCCAUCUCGUGCGCUCGUGUUAAUUGAUCCGAUUGCGUUUGAAGUUCAGCUAAAAGUAAAGAGCAAAACAGAGCCUGGAAAAGAUGAACUGUUGGCUUUCAAAGUCUUCAGCUACCACAAAGCUUAUCAUUCUGAUGAGGUGGAAUCUACACGCAUCACCUGCAAGCGCUGCACGCUUGAGUUUGCAUAUGCGCCGUUGCUUCCUUCAGUCGAGGCCACUGUCACUGUCCAAGUUAUUGAUGGGUCAUGGGACGACCAUGUUCAAGGAGUUGUUACUUGCCGCACUGCCAGCAUGGAAAAUGGGGAGAUGGUGUUGCUUGCUUCUCGAGAUGGAAAAAUGCCUGUCAACUCGGAUGGUGUGAUUGAGCUUUCAAGGCGCGUUGUUUCUGUAGAAUUAAGGGGACAGCUGUUGGUUUCCGUGCUGGGCCGUGGGACGGGUGAUAAGAAAGGUUUGGUCGCGACAGAUACCGCUCUCUUUACACAGAUGAAUGCCGGCACGAGUCAUGGCGUAUGUGAUCUUGGUUUCUGCAAGGUGCAAGUUACUGUUGCUUGGUCCUUUCUUUCUACCCUGGCAGACAUGCUGCUUUCUGCUUAA